Molecule: transfer RNA, 23 nt
Filed under: Kikihia horologium
Lineage: Eukaryota; Metazoa; Arthropoda; Insecta; Hemiptera; Cicadidae
Description: partial tRNA-Asx
Source: RNAcentral
UUAUGAAACUUUUGAGUAUUUUU